RNAcentral lists this ribosomal RNA (783 nucleotides) under Bacillus sp. LKS-161. RNAcentral's name for it is "bacterial SSU rRNA". It matches the Rfam family "Bacterial small subunit ribosomal RNA", at positions 60 to 824 of the family's 1533-position model. The record is from RNAcentral. Lineage: Bacteria; Bacillati; Bacillota; Bacilli; Caryophanales; Bacillaceae.
AGUCGAGCGAACUGAUUAGAAGCUUGCUUCUAUGACGUUAGCGGCGGACGGGUGAGUAACACGUGGGCAACCUGCCUGUAAGACUGGGAUAACUUCGGGAAACCGAAGCUAAUACCGGAUAGGAUCUUCUCCUUCAUGGGAGAUGAUUGAAAGAUGGUUUCGGCUAUCACUUACAGAUGGGCCCGCGGUGCAUUAGCUAGUUGGUGAGGUAACGGCUCACCAAGGCCACGAUGCAUAGCCGACCUGAGAGGGUGAUCGGCCACACUGGGACUGAGACACGGCCCAGACUCCUACGGGAGGCAGCAGUAGGGAAUCUUCCGCAAUGGACGAAAGUCUGACGGAGCAACGCCGCGUGAGUGAUGAAGGCUUUCGGGUCGUAAAACUCUGUUGUUAGGGAAGAACAAGUACAAGAGUAACUGCUUGUACCUUGACGGUACCUAACCAGAAAGCCACGGCUAACUACGUGCCAGCAGCCGCGGUAAUACGUAGGUGGCAAGCGUUAUCCGGAAUUAUUGGGCGUAAAGCGCGCGCAGGCGGUUUCUUAAGUCUGAUGUGAAAGCCCACGGCUCAACCGUGGAGGGUCAUUGGAAACUGGGGAACUUGAGUGCAGAAGAGAAAAGCGGAAUUCCACGUGUAGCGGUGAAAUGCGUAGAGAUGUGGAGGAACACCAGUGGCGAAGGCGGCUUUUUGGUCUGUAACUGACGCUGAGGCGCGAAAGCGUGGGGAGCAAACAGGAUUAGAUACNCUGGUAGUCCACGCCGUAAACGAUGAGUGCUAAGUGUU